GAUGAACGCUGGCGGCGUGCUUAACACAUGCAAGUCGAACGGAAAGGCUCCUGCUUGCAGGGGUACUCGAGUGGCGAACGGGUGAGUAACACGUGGGUGGUCUGCCCUGCACUUCGGGAUAAGCCUGGGAAACUGGGUCUAAUACCGGAUAGGACGAUGGUUUGGAUGCCAUUGUGGAAAGUUUUUCGGUGUGGGAUGAGCUCGCGGCCUAUCAGCUUGUUGGUGGGGUAAUGGCCUACCAAGGCGUCGACGGGUAGCCGGCCUGAGAGGGUGUACGGCCACAUUGGGACUGAGGUACGGCCCAGACGCCUACGGGAGGCAGCAGUGGGGGAUAGUGCAGAAUGGGCGCAAGCCUGAUGCAGCGACGCCGCGUGGGGGAUGACGGCCUUCGGGGUGUAGACGCCUUUCGCUAGGGACGAAGCGCAAGUGACGGUACCUGGAGAAGAAGCACCGGCUAACUACGUG
This 465-nucleotide ribosomal RNA is filed under the name uncultured bacterium. RNAcentral describes it as "partial 16S ribosomal RNA". It matches the Rfam family "Bacterial small subunit ribosomal RNA", at positions 28 to 507 of the family's 1533-position model. The record is from RNAcentral.